This 464-nucleotide ribosomal RNA is filed under the name uncultured bacterium. RNAcentral describes it as "partial 16S ribosomal RNA". It matches the Rfam family "Bacterial small subunit ribosomal RNA", at positions 29 to 507 of the family's 1533-position model. The record is from RNAcentral.
ACGCACGCUGGCGGCGUGCUUAACACCUGCAAGUCGAACGGAAAGGCCCCUUUGGGGGUACUCGAGUGGCGAACGGGUGAGUAACACGUGAGUAACCUGCCCUUGACUUCGGGAUAACUUCAGGAAACUGGGGCUAAUACCGGAUAGGAAUCCUUGCUGCAUGGUGGGGGUUGGAAAGCUUCGGCGGUUUUGGAUGGACUCGCGGCUUAUCAGCUUGUUGGUGGGGUAGUGGCUUACCAAGGCUUUGACGGGUAGCCGGCCUGAGAGGGCGACCGGCCACAUUGGGACUGAGAUACGGCCCAGACUCCUACGGGAGGCAGCAGUGGGGAAUAUUGCACAAUGGGCGGAAGCCUGAUGCAGCAACGCCGCGGGCGGGAUGACGGCCUUCGGGUUGUAAACCGCUUUCAGCAGGGGCGAAGCUUGUGGUGACGGUACCUGCAGAAGAAGCACCGGCUAACUACGUG